This 283-nucleotide long non-coding RNA is filed under the name Mytilus galloprovincialis (Mediterranean mussel). The record is from RNAcentral. Lineage: Eukaryota; Metazoa; Mollusca; Bivalvia; Mytilida; Mytilidae.
ACCAGAUGCUCCGCAGGGCGUAGCUUUAUACGACCGCAGAGGUUGAACCCUGAAUGGUUGGGGCAAGUAUGGACACAACAUUCAAGCUGGAUUCAGCUCUAAAUUUGGAUUGUGAUUAAAUAGUUGACACAGCAUAGGUUUCUGACACAGAAUGAAUGUGUUCUAAUGAACUUAAAAUUUUUGUUUUCUCUUAGAGCAAUUCACUAUAUGCUGUUGAAUAUUAAUCCUCUCAAAAAAAUGUUUGAAGAAAUUUUCUUUUUUAUUUAUGAAAUUUCAAAUGAGA